UCUGGCGGCGAUGGCGAAGAGGUCACACCCGUUCCCAUCCCGAACACGGAAGUUAAGCUCUUCAGCGCCGAUGGUAGUAAGGGGUUUCCCCUUGCGAGAGCAGGACGCUGCCAGGC
Molecule: ribosomal RNA, 116 nt
Filed under: Caryophanales bacterium
Lineage: Bacteria; Bacillati; Bacillota; Bacilli; Caryophanales
Source: RNAcentral